This 469-nucleotide ribosomal RNA is filed under the name Staphylococcus pseudintermedius. RNAcentral describes it as "bacterial SSU rRNA". It matches the Rfam family "Bacterial small subunit ribosomal RNA", at positions 1 to 459 of the family's 1533-position model. The record is from RNAcentral. Lineage: Bacteria; Bacillati; Bacillota; Bacilli; Caryophanales; Staphylococcaceae.
UUUAUGGAGAGUUUGAUCCUGGCUCAGGAUGAACGCUGGCGGCGUGCCUAAUACAUGCAAGUCGAGCGAACAGAUAAGGAGCUUGCUCCUUUGACGUUAGCGGCGGACGGGUGAGUAACACGUGGGUAACCUACCUAUAAGACUGGAAUAACUCCGGGAAACCGGGGCUAAUGCCGGAUAACAUGUUGAACCGCAUGGUUCUACAGUGAAAGACGGUCUUGCUGUCACUUAUAGAUGGACCCGCGCCGUAUUAGCUAGUUGGUGGGGUAACGGCCUACCAAGGCGACGAUACGUAGCCGACCUGAGAGGGUGAUCGGCCACACUGGAACUGAGACACGGUCCAGACUCCUACGGGAGGCAGCAGUAGGGAAUCUUCCGCAAUGGGCGAAAGCCUGACGGAGCAACGCCGCGUGAGUGAUGAAGGUCUUCGGAUCGUAAAGCUCUGUUGUUAGGGAAGAACAAAUGUGUA